Molecule: ribosomal RNA, 818 nt
Filed under: Cryptosporidium hominis
Lineage: Eukaryota; Apicomplexa; Conoidasida; Eucoccidiorida; Cryptosporidiidae
Description: SSU rRNA
Rfam family: Eukaryotic small subunit ribosomal RNA
Source: RNAcentral
AAGCCAUGCAUGUCUAAGUAUAAACUUUUAUACGGUUAAACUGCGAAUGGCUCAUUAUAACAGUUAUAGUUUACUUGAUAAUCUUUUACUUACAUGGAUAACCGUGGUAAUUCUAGAGCUAAUACAUGCGAAAAAACUCGACUUUAUGGAAGGGUUGUAUUUAUUAGAUAAAGAACCAAUAUAAUUGGUGACUCAUAAUAACUUUACGGAUCACAAUUAAUGUGACAUAUCAUUCAAGUUUCUGACCUAUCAGCUUUAAACGGUAGGGUAUUGGCCUACCGUGGCAAUGACGGGUAACGGGGAAUUAGGGUUCGAUUCCGGAGAGGGAGCCUGAGAAACGGCUACCACAUCUAAGGAAGGCAGCAGGCGCGCAAAUUACCCAAUCCUAAUACAGGGAGGUAGUGACAAGAAAUAACAAUACAGGACUUUUUGGUUUUGUAAUUGGAAUGAGUUAAGUAUAAACCCCUUUACAAGUAUCAAUUGGAGGGCAAGUCUGGUGCCAGCAGCCGCGGUAAUUCCAGCUCCAAUAGCGUAUAUUAAAGUUGUUGCAGUUAAAAAGCUCGUAGUUGGAUUUCUGUUAAUAAUUUAUAUAAAAUAUUUUGAUGAAUAUUUAUAUAAUAUUAACAUAAUUCAUAUUACUAUUUUUUUUUUUAGUAUAUGAAAUUUUACUUUGAGAAAAUUAGAGUGCUUAAAGCAGGCAUAUGCCUUGAAUACUCCAGCAUGGAAUAAUAUUAAAGAUUUUUAUCUUUCUUAUUGGUUCUAAGAUAAGAAUAAUGAUUAAUAGGGACAGUUGGGGGCAUUUGUAUUUAACAGUCAGA